AGCUGUGGGCCACGAAGGGGGGAGCUUUCCUGAGAGCGGAGCCGUGUAGAGAGGUGGAGGCGGGAGUAGGAGCACGCAGGGCCGUGUCCUGCUGGUCUCUCCGGGGUCCCUGGACCAGCUGUGCCUGCAGGCAGUCCCUGGAACUUCAGGUUAUGUGAACUAAAGGAGGUCCCUUCCCGUUUCUUCUCUCUCUCUCUCUCUCUCUCUCUCUCUCUCUCUCUCUCUCGCUUACGCUAAUUGGAACCAAAUAAUGAGCCGCAGAAAGGGUCCCAACUACAUAAAUCCCCACUCUAACUUGAGCCAGUGUGACUUGGGAUUUGAUCUUUGCAUCUGAAAAUGGACACAGCAGGACAAGUGGCCCCCACGUGUCUGUGCAGAGGCCCUGGGAGGAAGGCUCGGGCUCGGAGCAUUGGAGGCUCCAGCCCAGCUGCCCUUCGGCCCAGAAGCUGGGCUCUUGCUGAGUCUGCUGUGUGGUUGUGGGGUGGCUCUCGUCUAUGGAGCAGUGACAUGCCGGGCGCUGAGCCAAGUGCCUAGUGAUGGUAUCUGCUCCUCACGGGGGUCUGGGAAGUGGGUGGCUUCUCGUUACAGGAAGUGGGCUUAGAGGAAUUAAGUGACUCGUUCAAGGUCACGUCAGUAAAGGGAGGAGACCUGAUGUGUCCAGGAUCAUAUGACCUCACGGCCUGGCAUUCAGCAAACCACAGAGCCCCACGGCCUCCCCUUCCCUGCCGUUAAAGGGCCUCCAUGCCCAUCCCCGCUCACGGGGUGGGACCUCGGCACCCCCUGCCCUGCACAAUCCUGCACUUGUCCAGUACAGGCGAGCCGGAUGGACCGUACGUAUCUGAAGUCAUGUCAUGAGAUGUUAGGUGAAGUAUUGAUCCAUGGGGGAUUUUCAGCCCUUCCGGCUGAACAGCAGAGAACAAAGAUGCCAAUCUUCAGGCGUUAAGUGGAAGGACUAAGUGGUAAGAAAUUUGAAAGGGUCAUAAAAGGGUAUAAAGAGCUCUGCAGUGGGAUGAGGGGAGAGUUAUUUUUUUGACUCUUAUUUUUUUUUAAAGGUUUUGUUUAUUCCUGAGAGACAGAGAGAGAGGCAGAGACACAGGCAGAGGGAGAAGCAGGCUCCCUGUGGAGAGCCUGAUGCCGGACUGGGAUCAUACCCUGAGCCAAAGGCAGAUGCUCAACCACUGAGCCACCCAGGCAUCCCGUGAGGAGAGUUUUUAGAAAAAGGCAUUAGGAGCAGGGUAGGAACAAUUCCUUCUAACACUGGGAACUUCCAAGUGCAGGGCCUGUGCGUAGCCCUGUGUUUGGAAUUAGGGAGGACGAUGACAUGUCAGAUGCUCCCUAUGCCACCAGGGCACAUGGAGACGGUCUUUAAGGUCUCAGCAGGUUAGUUGCCCAGAUUUCUCUUGAAUGGAAAAGGAAGGGAGUCCAGAGGACCCUAUGGGCCCCUGGAGUCACAUGGAGUCAGCUGAGAGUGUGCUAGCGAGCUUGCCCCUCGGGCAGUCCUUGCUGGAGCGCAGCAGGAGGGUGGUAUAAGCCCAGCCCCCAAAUGGGGAUGUGACCAAGUCAGACUUGAAUAGAUUGAAUUGAAAUCAGUGAUUAAGCUAGUUUGACUUGAAUGUUACCAGAUUAACUUCUCUGUUGGUUAGAGAUGGGAACUCAUUACGAGGAUAAUAACAAUAAGGAUAUAGUUGGGGUAUCAAGAAAAAAGUCAUUUUUGCAUACCUGAAUUUGGAGGACUGCCAUGUUCCUGGAAUUCCUAUUAUCAUUGGUCAACGUAGGAGGGUUUGUAAGGUGUGGACCUGGAGGGCAAGGUGUGUGUGUGGUUUCUUGGGGUUACUCCUUUCUCCCCACUAGAAGGCCUUUGACUUAGGGUUCAUGGGGGAGAUGUGCUCUGGAGACUUGGUCAAGCCUCACUAUAAAGCUAUUUUGGGGGGCAACCCCGAUGGCCCAGUGGUUUGGCGCCGCUUUCAGCCCGGGGGCAUGAUCCUGGGGACCUGGGAUCGAGUCCCGCGUUGGGCUCCGUGCAUAGAGCCUGCUUCUCCCUCUGCCUGUGUCUCUGCCUAUCUUUCUCUGUCUCUCAUAAAUAAAUGAGUAAAGUCUUAAAAAAAAAAAAAAAAAAAAGCUAUUUUGGGGAAGUCCAUGGUGGGGCCUAGGGUCGGGUAGGCCAGAGAAGACUUAGGCUCCUGGGGCCCACUUCUUCCUGUGACCCAGCCAGCCCUCUGCAAACCCUGGGGCCCCAGAAUAUGGAAUCGCAUGGGAAGUAAUCAUUGUCACUGGAGGACGGUCACUCAGCUUCCUGCCCUAACUCACAAAAGAGCAAAAGUACAAUAGAGAAGGCCCUGGAUUCUGAGGACGAGAAGGAGCUGAUAUUGAUCUGAGUCCAGGUUUACCGAGGGACACUGGUUAUGAUAGGAGAAACCACUGCCGGCCAACAGCGAGAGUAAAGAAGAAUGACAUUUGUUGAGCACCUGUUCCGUGCCAAGCAUUGAACUGAAACUCUUCAGUCUGCCGGGUGAGGAUUACAGAUGCAAAGACUGGUCCGUUGGCCAAGGAGUGUGAGAAUCUAUCCUGUUCUGGAUCCCUCUGUCUUGGAAUUUGCAUGAUUAGUAUCUUCCAGUUGGGCCAGAAGACUUAAUUGUCCUUUCGUAGUGAAGCUGGCUCAUAUUUAUUGAGCAUUUACUACGUGCCAGGCACUGUUUCAAGCACUUUACAUGGAUGAACUCAUUUCUUUCAACAACCCCAGGACUGUGAGGCCCAGAAAGGAUUUUUAAGUAAUUUCUACACCCAACAUGGGGCUCACAUUUACAACCCCAAGAUGGACAGUUGAGCCAGCCAGGUGCCCCACCCCUGGCUUCAGUUCUUGGCUAUGCUGCCUACAGAGCCGUAGACCACAGGCAGAUCCCUUCACCUUUCUGAGCCUUUUUCCUGUUGCCUGUCAAAUGGGAUUGAGACACUCCACCUCAGAGGGUUGUUGUGAGCUGAUGAGAGUAUGAAUAUCGAAGCGGUUUGUAACCUGGACAGCACUACCUACAUUUGAGGUAAUGAAGUCAUCAUUGUGUUAGCAUUAAGAUUCAGGAAAGGAGGGCAGCGCCGAUGGCCCAGCGGUUUAGCGCCGCCUUUAGCCCAGGGUGUGGUCCUGGAGACCCGGAUAGGGUCCCACAUCAGGCUCCCUGCAUGGAGCCUGCUUCUCCCUCUGCCUGUGUCUGCCUCUCUGUGUCUUUCAUGAAUAAAUAAAUAAAUAAAACCUUAAAGAAAAGAUUCAGGAAAGGAGAAGCUUUAGAUAAAUUUUAAGAACUCAGUUAUCUUGGGGCACCUGGGUAGCCCAGUCGGUUAAGCAUCCGUCUUUUGUUCAGGUCAUGAUCUCAGGAUCCUGGGAGGGAGACUGCCCUUGUGUGGGCUCUUUGCUCAGUGGGCAGUC
Molecule: long non-coding RNA, 3415 nt
Organism: Canis lupus familiaris (dog)
Lineage: Eukaryota; Metazoa; Chordata; Mammalia; Carnivora; Canidae
Exons: 5
Source: RefSeq, a predicted model, not a curated record